Long non-coding RNA from Erinaceus europaeus (western European hedgehog), 869 nucleotides. RefSeq lists it as uncharacterized. Lineage: Eukaryota; Metazoa; Chordata; Mammalia; Eulipotyphla; Erinaceidae. The transcript has 3 exons. The record is from RefSeq and is a predicted model, not a curated record.
UGGGAAGAGUGACUCCAUGUCCCCAGUGUGCUGGUUCCAAAAAGCAGAGGACACAGUCAGAAGCCCCACGACAGCCCGAACCCCAGGCAAGAGGGAGCCUGCAGGCUAGCCCCACGCGGGCCUGUGACAUCCCCCCCAAGUCCCACAGUCAGAGCGGUGGCCCUGGAGGACAAAGGGCUCUCUGUUAAUUGGGGCCUCAACGUCCCCUGGCAGCAGAACCAGGGUUAUCGCUGAGGCUUGGUAUCAGCACUAUAAAUACACUGCUCCUGGUGGCCAUAUUUCUCAUUUUAUUGGACAGGGCAGAAAGAAAUUGAGAGAGGAGGGGGAGAUGGAGAAAGACAGACACACCUGCAGACCUGCUUCACUACUUGAGAAGCGUUCACCCUUCAAGGGAGGAGCAGUGGCUCAAACCUGAACCCUUGCACAGGCCCUUGUGUUUAGAGCUCGGUGCGCUUAACCAGGUGUGCCAUUGCCCGGCCCCUUUAUUUUAGUUUAUUUUAGACCAGUUUUUAUUUGUGAUUAAUAGCGGGUUACCCAAUUAUAAGACUACAUGGUCUAGGCUCCAUAUCACAGCCACCCUCACAGUUCUGAGUCCCACCCUCCCAACCAUCAGCAUCACUGUUCUCACAAAGUCUUAGAAACAGUUUCCAUAGCCCACCUUUUUGUUCCUUCCAGACUACUACAAAUGGCGAUACUCUAUUGUUCCUGGCUGAGUCGUAUUCCAUCAUGCCCACAUACCCGACCUCCUUUAUCACUCAGGCAGCUGCCUCUCGGUGUAAACCUCACUCCUGAAAGCCCCUAGGGGCUCUACCUCUUGGGGUUCAGUGCAGAUCUGAGAUUGCUUCUCAGUCCUGGGUCCUGGGAUUAAG